This is a long non-coding RNA of Callithrix jacchus (white-tufted-ear marmoset), 2990 nucleotides long. The record is from Ensembl. NCBI's taxonomy places the organism in Eukaryota, Metazoa, Chordata, Mammalia, Primates, Cebidae.
CUUGAGUUUUGUCCAGUGCACCAAAGGCUAAGAUUAGCAGAUACUAGAAUUUCCAUGCAGGAUAUUUUAAAAGGUUGUGAAACUGGUUUAGUGACUUCGCCUUAAGGGUGGACACAAGUGAGUCAAGAGAUUUAUAGGGAAAGGAUUUCUUUAAAGAUAGUUGCAGUUGGGCCAAAUGAAGGAAGCUCUCAAGAACUAUUCAGAACACCUGGCAUGUUUCUCCUGGAGAUUGAGAACAGGCUUGAGGAAAAGGUCGGCUUAGCAGAGCAGGAAAAGUAGCAGUGCCUUCAGAGAGUGAGAUGACUGCUCAUCUAUCAAAGGAGUCGGGGGAAAGAGUGAGUGUAGGGCAAGAACAAAGACAUGUUCUUCUGGGCCACGUAGACCCACAGAGGAAAGCUGGUCUUGAGUCAGUGUAAAGAACCUAACGGGAAAUCCAGAGAGAAAGCGCCGCUGUAUGCAGAAUCUGAUGAGGCAUUUUAGGCAUUCAGUCAAAGCUAAAGAGUAGCCCAGUAAGAGACCCCCAGAUGGGACAUUUCUGAAGAAUCUACAAAACUUCUCUGUGAAAUACAUCGUUAAAAUGUGGACAUCUGCUGCACCCAGAGGGAACCUCUUUCAGUUCACCGUGGCUCCUGAAGAGCCAGGACAGAAUGCUCUUGGGAAAAAAAGAAGUAGAAAGGCUCCACUGGCAGAGGAGCAGCAGAGAAGGAGAGAAGAGAAGAAGGAGCUUGACAUCAGUGAGAAGCAGCCUUGACUUCAGAGAGACAGCUUGACAAUGGGACCCCAAAGAAGAGUUUAGCUGCGGAUAGUAGAACUCCAGGGGAAGACUAACUUCUCACUCCAUCCCCUUUCUAGCUCUCCAUCCCUUCCCACUGAGAGCCACUUCCAAUGGCAAUAAAAUCCCCCACAUUUAUCAUCUUCAAUUUGUUUGUGCAAUCUGAUUUCUCCUAGAUGCGGAACAAGAGCUUGGGAUACAAAGGGCUGUCACACUGAACUGUUAAACACUUAAAGCUAAAAGAGUGCACUCUAACACACACCUUCUGAGGCGUAAGGGCCCCCUAGAUGCUGCUGUGGGACCACACAGAGUUAUUCUCCUGCUAGUGCCCAGAAGCAUACUCAUCUCAGCCACUGCACUGGCUCACCUCCAUGCUCCCAUCCCAUGAAGGGUUGAGAGCUGUGGGCUGAGUAAACAAGUCACCCCCUUCAUGAAUACCAUGACAGCAUCAGAAAAAGAUUUCCUGUUUUAAUUCUAGCAUUAUGAGAGCUCUCAGAGAAAUCAUUAUUUCCUUUAUAUUAAAGGAGACCAAGUCUUCCCUGUGUUUUCAUGGUUGCUAGUAUAUGGUCUUCUUUUAAGUUCAUCACCAAGUUAAUCUCACUGUCCACAUCUACAUUUUUUUUAAGACCUCCGUUAGUCUACAAGAUUUGGUAAACAACAACAAAAUUGCUAAAGAGAGUUGCCAUUUGUCUUAUACACUGGCAGACUUUUUUUCAAAGUGAUUCUUAAGCAUUGGAUUGUAUCAAAUAACCAGUUCCAAUCCUUUGAGGUUCUGUUAAGUGCACUUUGAAUUCUGAGUCUGCUGAAGCCUUCAGUCAAAUAAUUUGAAAAUAGGAGUACAAAUAGGGUCAGAAUCUUUAGAUCUGAAAAAUAUCACUCUCAAGUUUCAUUCCCAUUUUUUCUAAUCUUCUCUAAGUAAAACAAUCACAUACUUGUUUAUUUUAUAUAAUUAUUUUAGAAACUGUCUAAGCUAAAAUUGGUAUUGACUUAUUACAAUUCAGACUAUUCUUGGCCAGGCUCAGUGGCUGACACCUGUAAUCCCAGGACUUUGGGAGGCCAAGGCCAGUGGAACAUCUGAGGUCAGGAUUUUGCCACCAGCCUGGCCAACAUGGUGAAAUCCCGUCUUUAUUCAAAACACAAAAAUUAUCUGGACCUGUUGGCUCGAGCUUGUAAUCCCAGCUACUUGGGAGGCUGAGGCACAAAAAUCACUUAAACCUGGGAGGUGGGGGUUGCAGUCAGCCUAGAUGGCACCACUGCACUCCAGCCUGGGCAAAAGAGUGAGACUCUGCCUCAAAAAAAAAAAAAAAAAAAAAGAUUAUUCUUAAGAUACAUAUAAUUAACGUUUUCUUGGCAUCUAGUCUGGGUAAGCACUAGGUUAUUACCAAUAGCACAAGGAUCAAUGAUUACAUAGUGUCUAACUUUGAGAUCACAGUAAUAGAAAUUAAGUGAGUUAACUAAAAAAGAAUAAAGAAAAUACAGUAUCCAAGAAGGUCCUUUACAACUGCAUUAGUUGGUUUGCGCUAACUGUAUCAUAAACUCAGAAGUUUAAUAACAAUGGUUCAUAAUUGCAUGGCAUUCACCAUGUACCAGAUAUGUUCUAAGUAAUUCUUUAUACCUAAGAAAUAUUGCUAUUCCUCUUUUGCAAAUGAGGAAUUGAGACACAGAGAGAGAAUGCCAUUGGAGUGAUUCCAGACAACCCAGAAACUGAACCCAGCCAGUUUGGCUUCAGUGUCCAAUCUGCCAACAGGUAUGGUACAGCCUCUCACUAAACUCUGCUCUUGACCACUGGGUCUUCAACUGCCCUCUUCUUCCCCCUGUUUUGAAAGUUUUACACUUUUCUUAUUCUCCUAUCUCAUUACACUAUUCUAAUUGCCUGAAAUGCUCUUUGUCCAUUUUCCCUGUGGCACUUACUCUUACUCAGCAUACAAAACUCAGUUCAUGGUUUACUCUUUCUCCUGAAUCUUUAAUUUAGAGUUACCACCUCUAGAUUCCCAUAGUAUCUUGUGCUAUCUUGUGAAUAUGUAUAUGUAUGGCUAGUAUGUGUUGAGUAGUGUUAUCUACCAAGGAAUAAAGGCUUCUCUUGGAUUAUUUUGUUCCAUCUUUGCAACAACCCUACAGGGAAGAUACUCCUUUUCACUGAAAGAAUAUUAGGACAUCGUCAUAAUUCAGGAAAUGGCUUAAGGUUAGAAUUAAUUACUUAAUUGUUACUGACAAGGUC